This 253-nucleotide ribosomal RNA is filed under the name uncultured bacterium. Its description in RNAcentral is "partial 16S ribosomal RNA". It matches the Rfam family "Bacterial small subunit ribosomal RNA", at positions 524 to 776 of the family's 1533-position model. The record is from RNAcentral.
UACAGAGGGUGCGAGCGUUGUUCGGAAUUAUUGGGCGUAAAGGGCGCGUAGGCGGUGCGGUAAGUCACCUGUGAAAUCUCCUGGCUCAACUGGGAGCUUGCAGGCGAAACUGCCGUGCUGGAGUGUGGGAGAGGUGCGUGGAAUUCCUGGUGUAGCGGUGAAAUGCGUAGAUAUCAGGAGGAACACCUGUGGCGAAAGCGGCGUACUGGACCACAACUGACGCUGAGGCGCGAAAGCUAGGGGAGCAAACAGG